CCUACGGGAGGCAGCAGUGAGGAAUAUUGGUCAAUGGGCGCAAGCCUGAACCAGCCAAGUCGCGUGAGGGAUGACGGCCCUAUGGAUUGUAAACCUCUUUUGUCGGGGAGCAAGGCGCGCCACGUGUGGCGUGUUGGAGAGUACCCGAAGAAAAAGCAUCGGCUAACUCCGUGCCAGCAGCCGCGGUAAUACGGAGGAUGCGAGCGUUAUCCGGAUUUAUUGGGUUUAAAGGGUGCGUAGGCGGAAGGUUAAGUCAGCGGUAAAAUGUCGGGGCUCAACCCCGGCCUGCCGUUGAAACUGGUGUUCUUGAGUGGGCGAGAAGUAUGCGGAAUGCGUGGUGUAGCGGUGAAAUGUAUAGAUAUCACGCAGAACUCCGAUUGCGAAGGCAGCAUACCGGCGCGCAACUGACGCUGAGGCACGAAAGCGUGGGUAUCGAACAGGAUUAGAUACCCUAGUAGUC
Molecule: ribosomal RNA, 460 nt
Filed under: uncultured bacterium
Lineage: Bacteria
Description: partial 16S ribosomal RNA
Rfam family: Bacterial small subunit ribosomal RNA
Source: RNAcentral